Ananas comosus (pineapple) is the source of this 541-nucleotide long non-coding RNA. RefSeq lists it as uncharacterized. The record is from RefSeq and is a predicted model, not a curated record. Lineage: Eukaryota; Viridiplantae; Streptophyta; Magnoliopsida; Poales; Bromeliaceae. The transcript has 2 exons.
GGGAUGGGGGUGAGGGGGGAGAUCAACGGCGAGGGCCUGCUGGAGGGGGAGGAGCUGAGGAGGUGCCUGGAGGUGGUGAUGGGGGAGGCGGAGAGAGGGGCGCAGAUGAGGAGGAGGGCGCAGAUGUGGAAGGAGAAGGCCCGGGAGGCCAUCGGGGAAGGAGGGUCCUCCCAGCGGAACCUUCGGGCUUUUGUGGACCAGAUCGCCGACCGCAAUUGGUUACCCUGACCCACUCCACGAGCAGCUCCAGAGGACAUGCUUUUUGAGGAAAGACUGCUAUUUUUUUCUCUCUUUUGUUUUAAUUCUCUUUUUUUUUUUCUUUUUUUUUUUUUUCUUUUGUAGCUGUUUGACUCAUUUGAAGAUUUUAUUGUCUCAACAUUAGUAGCAGAAUUUACGUUCCGAACGAAUAAAACAAAUAACUGCUAUCUUUUUCUAAAAAAUUAAUGGACCUUUUUUCUUUUAUUUUUUGAUAUUGUGCAAUUGCAUGGACUCUAGUGAUGUAUAUGGAAAUAGGAGAAAUAUAGUAUACAUUGAAAACUCA